Molecule: unclassified non-coding RNA, 331 nt
Filed under: soil metagenome
Description: partial contains 5.8S ribosomal RNA, internal transcribed spacer 2, and large subunit ribosomal RNA
Rfam family: 5.8S ribosomal RNA (bases 1-120)
Source: RNAcentral
GAUGAAGAACGUAGCGAAAUGCGAUAAGUAAUGUGAAUUGCAGAAUUCAGUGAAUCAUCGAAUCUUUGAACGCACAUUGCGCCCCCUGGUAUUCCGGGGGGCAUGCCUGUUCGAGCGUCAUUUCACCACUCAAGCCUCGCUUGGUAUUGGGCAACGCGGUCCGCCGCGUGCCUCAAAUCGACCGGCUGGGUCUUCUGUCCCCUAAGCGUUGUGGAAACUAUUCGCUAAAGGGUGUUCGGGAGGCUACGCCGUAAAACAACCCCAUUUCUAGGGUUGACCUCGGAUCAGGUAGGGAUACCCGCUGAACUUAAGCAUAUAAAUAAGCGGAGGA